Molecule: ribosomal RNA, 496 nt
Filed under: uncultured bacterium
Lineage: Bacteria
Description: partial 16S ribosomal RNA
Rfam family: Bacterial small subunit ribosomal RNA
Source: RNAcentral
GAUGAACGCUGGCGGCGUGCCUAAUACAUGCAAGUCGAGCGAACAGACGAGGAGCUUGCUCCUCUGACGUUAGCGGCGGACGGGUGAGUAACACGUGGAUAACCUACCUAUAAGACUGGGAUAACUUCGGGAAACCGGAGCUAAUACCGGAUAACAUGUUGAACCGCAUGGUACAACAGUGAAAGACGGUCUUGCUGUCACUUAUAGAUGGAUCCGCGCCGCAUUAGCUAGUUGGUAAGGUAACGGCUUACCAAGGCAACGAUGCGUAGCCGACCUGAGAGGGUGAUCGGCCUCACUGGAACUGAGACACGGUCCAGACUCCUACGGGAGGCAGCAGUAGGGAAUCUUCCGCAAUGGGCGAAAGCCUGACGGAGCAACGCCGCGUGAGUGAAGAAGGUCUGCGGAUCGUAAAACUCUGUUAUUAGGGAAGAACAAAUGUGUAAGUAACUAUGCACGUCUUGACGGUACCUAAUCAGAAAGCCACGGCUAACUACGU